UUGUAGAGUUUGAUCCUGGCUCAGAUUUAACGCUGGCGUUAUGCCUAACACAUGCAAGUUGUACGAUAGAAUACUUUUUCGUAGCGAACGGGUGAGUAAUAUAUCCAAACAUACCCCAAAGAUUGAUAUAAUUUUACGAAAGUAAUUCUAAUAUCAUAUAGAAAGAACGUAUAAAUAUUCUUAAAAGUUUUUAUAUAAACCAAUAUUAUAAAUACUUUGGGAUUGGUGGAUAUCAGAUUAGUUUAUAUGUAAUUUAAAAGACUACAUAGACUAUGAUCUGUAGCUGUUUUUAGAGAAAGCACAGCCACAUCAGGACUGAGACAAGGCCUGAACCUCCACGGAGGGCAGCAGUGAGGAAUUUUGGACAAUGAGCGAAAGCUUGAUCCAGCAAUAUCGCGUGUAUGAAGAAGGUUAUACAACUGUAAAGUACUUUUUUCAGAAUACUAAAAUUUUAUGGUAAUUCAUAAAACUGAAUAACUGAAGAAUAAGCACCGGCUAAUUACGUGCCAGCAGCCGCGGUAAUACGUAAGGUGCGAGCGUUAAUCGGAAUUAUUGGGCGUAAAGCGUGUGUAGGUGGUUUAUUAUGAUGUUUAUAAAAUAAUGAUUAGAGUCAUUAGGUAAACAUUACUGGUAAUCUUGAAUAUAUGAUAGAGGGAGGUGGAAUUUUGCAAGUAGUAGUGAAAUGCGUAGAUAUGCAAAGGAACACCAAUAGCGAAGGCAACCUCCUGGGUUUAUAUUGACACUGAGACACUAAAGCAUGGGUAUCAAACAGGAUUAGAUACCCUGGUAGUCCAUGCCCUAAACGAUGUCAACUAACUAUGGUAAAUAAUACUUGCUGUAGUAAAGCUAACGCGUUAAGUUGACCGCCUGGGUAUUACGAUCGCAAGAUUAAAACUCAAAGGAAUUGACGGGGACCUGCACAAGCGAUGGAUGAUGUGGAUUAAUUCGAUGCAACACGAAAAACCUUACCUACUCUUGACAUGUAUAGAAUCGAAAAAAUAUAAAGAGUGCCGAAAGGAACUAUAACACAGGUGCUGCAUGGCUGUCGUCAGCUCGUGUCGUGAGAUGUUAAAUUAAGUUUUAUAACGAGCGUAACCCUCGCUCUCUAAUAUUAUGAGAGGACUGCCUUUUUGGAGGAAGGAGAGGAUGACGUCAAGUCAUCAUGGCCCUUAUGAGUAGGGCUUCACACGUCAUACAAUGGAUAGUACAAUACAAAAAACUAUUCUUAGUUCGGAUUGAAAUCUGCAACUCGGUUUCAUAAAGCAGGAAUCGCUAGUAAUCGCAGAUCAGCAUGCUGCGGUGAU
RNAcentral lists this ribosomal RNA (1304 nucleotides) under Candidatus Vidania fulgoroideorum. Its description in RNAcentral is "bacterial SSU rRNA". It matches the Rfam family "Bacterial small subunit ribosomal RNA", at positions 1 to 1366 of the family's 1533-position model. The record is from RNAcentral. Lineage: Bacteria; Pseudomonadati; Pseudomonadota; Betaproteobacteria.